AGGGAAUCAGUCCUUUCACUCACAUGACCGCUCUGAAGGAAAGCUCCCUGCGGGCCUCCUCCCUGCUGUAGCUCCUAGAACCAACUGGCCCCUAGCCCUGUUCACAGGAAGUGAGAGAACUCCAGAGGCUGUUCUCUACCUCACUUCCUGUGCCUCACAUGUGCCAAUGGUGGCUCAAGCUUGGUUUAGGACAGCCCAGGGGGACAGUUAGUUAUUUCUGAUUUGUCAUUGUAGUGUGGGUGUGCACAAUUUUGGGUGCUAGACCAAGCAAGAUGGAGGAGAUUUAAAAAUCACACCAGAGAAGAUGAGAACUAAAACUAAAACUAAAAACUAAGAAUGGUCAGUCCUAGGAAAAAGUGUCUGCUAUGAUUGGUAGAAAAUUUAGUGGAAGUGACAUAAGAGAAAAUUCUCGUUAAAAGGAGGUCAACUGAAUUCAGUUGGGACUCUGAACUCAGUUCAGGUGUUCAGGAGUUCAGUGGAAGACUGGAGCUUGCUUGAGACGAUCUUGGGGUGGUAGAAGAACCCCUAAAGAUGUCAGGUGGGGUCUGUCUUUGGAUCACAGAUUUAGAGCUAAAAGGAAUUGCAAAGAUAUUUUUAUUUUUUGCUUUAAAAACAUGAUUCAAAGAAGAGAUCCAGACUGCCCAAAGGGUCCAGGACACAAGAAAUUGCUAAGCCCUCUUAUCUCGACUUACCAAUGGAGAAAGUCUGGAUCAGAGAGGGAAAUAACCUGCCUAAGGUCAUGGAAUAGAGCCAUAACUUGGACCCAAGUAUUCUGACUCAAUGUCUGGUGGUUUGUUGUUUUUUUUUUCUUCACCAUACUGAACUCUGAUCUAUAAACUGGGUGUCAGGGCAGUCCUUAAUUUCUCACCUUCCUUUGCCCCAUUCCCAU
This 889-nucleotide long non-coding RNA is filed under the name Monodelphis domestica (gray short-tailed opossum). RNAcentral's name for it is "lncRNA (ENSMODG00000047499.1)". The record is from RNAcentral. Lineage: Eukaryota; Metazoa; Chordata; Mammalia; Didelphimorphia; Didelphidae.